This 1151-nucleotide long non-coding RNA is filed under the name Monodelphis domestica (gray short-tailed opossum). Its description in RNAcentral is "lncRNA (ENSMODG00000041217.1)". Lineage: Eukaryota; Metazoa; Chordata; Mammalia; Didelphimorphia; Didelphidae. The record is from RNAcentral.
AGGCACUGUGCUAAGCUCUUGAGAUACAAAAAGAGGCAAAAGAGAGUCCCAGCCCUCAAGAAGCUUACAAUCUAAAAGGAGAGACAAUAAAAAAUAAGUUAUAUAUAGGAUGUGCUAGUGCUCAUCCUUCAUUUUCAAAGAGGUCCAAUGACAUCACAGGGUGCUUUCUUGAGUUGUGUGUGAGUUGGAUUUAAAUGAAGCAGAGUUGCACACAGUCAUGGGCCUCCCUCAUUUUCUCUUCCAGAAUCAUCAAAGUCCACUGGCAAGACAAAAGUCAGGACGACUGGUGAUGGUCCAGGAUGUGGUGGAUGGCUUCUUUGAUGUAUGACCAGAUUCUAAUAGCUGCAUGGCUCCUGAUUUGGCCACCUUCCUGGUGUUGAAUCACAUUGUUCUCAGCCACCCAUUCUGUCAGGGUAAGUCUUCACAUGCUUGGAGUAGACAUCCCCUAACUCACUGAUGGGUUUGAGGUCUGUUGGUUACCUCCAACCUGGUUUAGCUCAUCUGCUGAAAACAGUUCUACAGAGGUGUGUCUGCUAUGAGUGCUAUAGUUUUUUGGAGCCACAGGGGAGAAUUGAGUAAAAGGUGGACACCACAGUUAUAUAAACAGCCCUGACGAAAGGGCUCAGCAAGUCCUUACAAAGAAGAUCCUAGCCUUUCCUGAAAACAUUUCUAUAGAAUAAACAGGUAAUAAUUAAAAGAGUGAAAGUCCUGGAAUUAAGGGCAGUUAGGGAAACCUUCUUGUAGAAGGCAGAACUUUAGUUGGGACUUAAAGGAAACCAUAGAGAUCAGCAGAUAGAACAUUCUAGGUAUGGGGGACAACCAGAGAAAAGACCUGGAGCAGAGAAAUGGAGUGUCUUGCUCUUGGAGCAAGAAAGAAGCCAAUGUCACUGGAUCAAGGAGUACCUGCUGGGAGUAUGUUUCCCCCAGAAGGUCACUCUGUAGGAGUCUGAGAUCAAGUCCACUGAUUGCUUCUGAUAAUCUACUCUUGGAAGAGGACUGUCCAGCAGUCUCCCCUGGGAGCUAGCCUCCCCACCACCUAAGAUACAGAAAAAGCAUGGAUGCAUUACGACUUUUGAAAUGAAGAAAUUAAAAAAUGUCCUUCCACCCAUCAGCCAGAGCUUUGAAAUCUCUCUCUCCUGGGUUCCACAUGC